UGUAUAAUGGGUCAGCGACUUAUAUUCUGUAGCAAGGUUAACCGAAUAGGGGAGCCGAAGGGAAACCGAGUCUUAACUGGGCGUUAAGUUGCAGGGUAUAGACCCGAAACCCGGUGAUCUAGCCAUGGGCAGGUUGAAGGUUGGGUAACACUAACUGGAGGACCGAACCGACUAAUGUUGAAAAAUUAGCGGAUGACUUGUGGCUGGGGGUGAAAGGCCAAUCAAACCGGGAGAUAGCUGGUUCUCCCCGAAAGCUAUUUAGGUAGCGCCUCGUGAAUUCAUCUCCGGGGGUAGAGCACUGUUUCGGCAAGGGGGUCAUCCCGACUUACCAACCCGAUGCAAACUGCGAAUACCGGAGAAUGUUAUCACGGGAGACACACGGCGGGUGCUAACGUCCGUCGUGAAGAGGGAAACAACCCAGACCGCCAGCUAAGGUCCCAAAGUCAUGGUUAAGUGGGAAACGAUGUGGGAAGGCCCAGACAGCCAGGAUGUUGGCUUAGAAGCAGCCAUCAUUUAAAGAAAGCGUAAUAGCUCACUGGUCGAGUCGGCCUGCGCGGAAGAUGUAACGGGGCUAAACCAUGCACCGAAGCUGCGGCAGCGACGCUUAUGCGUUGUUGGGUAGGGGAGCGUUCUGUAAGCCUGUGAAGGUGUGCUGUGAGGCAUGCUGGAGGUAUCAGAAGUGCGAAUGCUGACAUAAGUAACGAUAAAGCGGGUGAAAAGCCCGCUCGCCGGAAGACCAAGGGUUCCUGUCCAACGUUAAUCGGGGCAGGGUGAGUCGACCCCUAAGGCGAGGCCGAAAGGCGUAGUCGAUGGGAAACAGGUUAAUAUUCCUGUACUUGGUGUUACUGCGAAGGGGGGACGGAGAAGGCUAUGUUGGCCGGGCGACGGUUGUCCCGGUUUAAGCGUGUAGGCUGGUUUUCCAGGCAAAUCCGGAAAAUCAAGGCUGAGGCGUGAUGACGAGGCACUACGGUGCUGAAGCAACAAAUGCCCUGCUUCCAGGAAAAGCCUCUAAGCAUCAGGUAACAUCAAAUCGUACCCCAAACCGACACAGGUGGUCAGGUAGAGAAUACCAAGGCGCUUGAGAGAACUCGGGUGAAGGAACUAGGCAAAAUGGUGCCGUAACUUCGGGAGAAGGCACGCUGAUAUGUAGGUGAAGCGACUUGCUCGUGGAGCUGAAAUCAGUCGAAGAUACCAGCUGGCUGCAACUGUUUAUUAAAAACACAGCACUGUGCAAACACGAAAGUGGACGUAUACGGUGUGACGCCUGCCCGGUGCCGGAAGGUUAAUUGAUGGGGUUAGCCGCAAGGCGAAGCUCUUGAUCGAAGCCCCGGUAAACGGCGGCCGUAACUAUAACGGUCCUAAGGUAGCGAAAUUCCUUGUCGGGUAAGUUCCGACCUGCACGAAUGGCGUAAUGAUGGCCAGGCUGUCUCCACCCGAGACUCAGUGAAAUUGAACUCGCUGUGAAGAUGCAGUGUACCCGCGGCAAGACGGAAAGACCCCGUGAACCUUUACUAUAGCUUGACACUGAACAUUGAGCCUUGAUGUGUAGGAUAGGUGGGAGGCUUUGAAGUGUGGACGCCAGUCUGCAUGGAGCCGACCUUGAAAUACCACCCUUUAAUGUUUGAUGUUCUAACGUUGACCCGUAAUCCGGGUUGCGGACAGUGUCUGGUGGGUAGUUUGACUGGGGCGGUCUCCUCCUAAAGAGUAACGGAGGAGCACGAAGGUUGGCUAAUCCUGGUCGGACAUCAGGAGGUUAGUGCAAUGGCAUAAGCCAGCUUGACUGCGAGCGUGACGGCGCGAGCAGGUGCGAAAGCAGGUCAUAGUGAUCCGGUGGUUCUGAAUGGAAGGGCCAUCGCUCAACGGAUAAAAGGUACUCCGGGGAUAACAGGCUGAUACCGCCCAAGAGUUCAUAUCGACGGCGGUGUUUGGCACCUCGAUGUCGGCUCAUCACAUCCUGGGGCUGAAGUAGGUCCCAAGGGUAUGGCUGUUCGCCAUUUAAAGUGGUACGCGAGCUGGGUUUAGAACGUCGUGAGACAGUUCGGUCCCUA
RNAcentral lists this ribosomal RNA (2048 nucleotides) under Escherichia coli. RNAcentral's name for it is "partial 23S ribosomal RNA". It matches the Rfam family "Bacterial large subunit ribosomal RNA", at positions 609 to 2640 of the family's 2925-position model. Lineage: Bacteria; Pseudomonadati; Pseudomonadota; Gammaproteobacteria; Enterobacterales; Enterobacteriaceae. The record is from RNAcentral.